UACCCAAAAUAAAAAAAAUACAAAAAAAAAAAUACAAAAAAAAAAUACGGAAAGCGUGGAAUCGCAUCGAGCUGGAAUUUGCAUAUUUGCGAAGGAGCAUUGAACUCGUGUCAGAGUCGCUGGAUCGGGUGCGUCGUUGAGGCUCUAAAUUUGAUUAAUUCAAGAGGCGUUCGCCUGGGGCGUUUAAAGAAGUAAGCUCUUCAGUGCACCUGGAUUCUGAGUGAAAGAAUAGGUGUGUCGGUGUGCGUGUCAGUAGUGGGUGUGACUGCCAUGGCGCAGUUGGUAUUGGCCAAACGAGUUGGCCAUGUUGAUCCCCAACGAAGCGGCUAAAAGCCUUUUGUGCCCCCUGUCCGCGGUAUGAUGAACAGUGGAUACUGGAGGCCGGAAGAUGUUAAACAGCAGAUCUGGGCGGUAUUUCCCUAUUUUAUUACA
Molecule: long non-coding RNA, 432 nt
Organism: Drosophila santomea
Lineage: Eukaryota; Metazoa; Arthropoda; Insecta; Diptera; Drosophilidae
Exons: 3
Source: RefSeq, a predicted model, not a curated record